RNAcentral lists this ribosomal RNA (590 nucleotides) under uncultured bacterium. Its description in RNAcentral is "bacterial SSU rRNA". It matches the Rfam family "Bacterial small subunit ribosomal RNA", at positions 338 to 945 of the family's 1533-position model. The record is from RNAcentral.
CCUACGGGAGGCAGCAGUGGGGAAUAUUGGACAAUGGGCGAAAGCCUGAUCCAGCAAUGCCGCGUGAGUGAUGAAGGCCUUAGGGUUGUAAAGCUCUUUUACCAGGGAUGAUAAUGACAGUACCUGGAGAAUAAGCUCCGGCUAACUCCGUGCCAGCAGCCGCGGUAAUACGGAGGGAGCUAGCGUUGUUCGGAAUUACUGGGCGUAAAGAGUACGUAGGCGGUUAUUCAAGUCAGAGGUGAAAGCCCGGGGCUCAACCCCGGAACUGCCUUUGAAACUAGAUAGCUAGAAUCUUGGAGAGGUCAGUGGAAUUCCGAGUGUAGAGGUGAAAUUCGUAGAUAUUCGGAAGAACACCAGUGGCGAAGGCGACUGACUGGACAAGUAUUGACGCUGAGGUACGAAAGCGUGGGGAGCAAACAGGAUUAGAUACCCUGGUAGUCCACGCCGUAAACGAUGAUAACUAGUUGUUCGGGCACUUGGUGCCUGAGUGACGCAGCUAACGCAUUAAGUUAUCCGCCUGGGGAGUACGGUCGCAAGNUUAAAACUCAAAUGAAUUGACGGCUGAGAGNGCGAGACGACGACGAGGAGAG